This 253-nucleotide ribosomal RNA is filed under the name uncultured bacterium. RNAcentral's name for it is "partial 16S ribosomal RNA". It matches the Rfam family "Bacterial small subunit ribosomal RNA", at positions 524 to 776 of the family's 1533-position model. The record is from RNAcentral.
UCCGGAGGGCGCGAUCGUUACCCGGAUUUACUGGGUGUAAAGGGCGUGUAGGCGGUCUCUCAAGUCCGAUGCUAAAGACCGAAGCUCAACUUCGGGGGUGCGUUGGAUACUGUGAGGCUAGACGGUCGGAGGGGGUAGCGGAAUUUCCGGAGUAGCGGUGAAAUACGCAGAUACCGGAAGGAACGCCGAUAGCGAAGGCAGCUACCUGGACGAUUGGUGACGCUGAGGCGCGAAAGCGUGGGGAGCAAACCGG